This 429-nucleotide ribosomal RNA is filed under the name Acidobacteriota bacterium. Its description in RNAcentral is "Acidobacteria bacterium partial 16S ribosomal RNA". It matches the Rfam family "Bacterial small subunit ribosomal RNA", at positions 355 to 776 of the family's 1533-position model. The record is from RNAcentral. Lineage: Bacteria; Pseudomonadati; Acidobacteriota.
UGGGGAAUUUUGGACAAUGGGGGAAACCCUGAUCCAGCCAUCCCGCGUGUGCGAUGAAGGCCUUCGGGUUGUAAAGCACUUUUGGCAGGAAAGAAACGUCAUGGGUUAAUACCCCGUGAAACUGACGGUACCUGCAGAAUAAGCACCGGCUAACUACGUGCCAGCAGCCGCGGUAAUACGUAGGGUGCAAGCGUUAAUCGGAAUUACUGGGCGUAAAGCGUGCGCAGGCGGUUCGGAAAGAAAGAUGUGAAAUCACAGAGCUCAACUUUGGAACUGCAUUUUUAACGAACGGGCUAGAGUGUGUCAGAGGGAGGUGGAAUUCCGCGUGUAGCAGUGAAAUGCGUAGAUAUGCGGAGGAAAACCGAUGGCGAAGGGAGACUCCUGGGAUAACACUGACGCUCAUGCAAGAAAGCGUGGGGAGCAAACAGG